RNAcentral lists this ribosomal RNA (344 nucleotides) under uncultured bacterium. Its description in RNAcentral is "bacterial SSU rRNA". It matches the Rfam family "Bacterial small subunit ribosomal RNA", at positions 335 to 663 of the family's 1533-position model. The record is from RNAcentral.
ACUCCUACGGGAGGCAGCAGUGGGGGAAUAUUGCACAAUGGGGGGAAAACCCCUGAUGCAGCCAUGCCGCGUGUGUGAAGAAGGCCUUCGGGUUGUAAAGCACUUUCAGUAGGGAGGAAGGUAGUGUAGUUAACACCUGCACUAUUUGUACGUUACCUACAGAAGAAGCACCGGCUAACUCCGUGCCAGCAGCCGCGGUAAGUACGGAGGGUGCGAGCGUUAAUCGGAAUUACUGGGCGUAAAGCGCAUGCAGGCGGCCUGUUAAGUCAGAUGUGAAACGCCCGGGGCUUAACCUCGGAAUUGCAUUUGAAACUGGCAGGCUAGAGUCUUGGUAGAGGGGGUUA